Molecule: non-coding RNA, 390 nt
Organism: Vicia faba (fava bean)
Lineage: Eukaryota; Viridiplantae; Streptophyta; Magnoliopsida; Fabales; Fabaceae
Source: the annotation of a GenBank genome assembly
AUGCUUCACGCAAUUGUCCUAUCCUUGUAUCCCCUUAAUUGGUUCUUCACUUUUCUUUAUUAUACAGAUGUUGCAUCCGUUACUGCUGUGCUGGCCAUGUAUCUUGCAAGUUUGGAAAAGAAUUACUGGUUAAGUGCAUUGCAACUACGAAACACUGUCAGGGACUUAGGGUUUACGUGUUUUUGGAUAAAAAUUAGAGAGAACAAAAUAAGAUUGAUGAAAAAGGAUUCAGGAUUUAGAACACUCACUCAGAGACAAAGAGAUUGGUGUAUAUGGUUUGAGGUUUCCAAUACAGAUGGUGGUGGUUGUGGCCGUUAUUUACCAUUUGUGAGAAAAAACGAUUUGGAUAAGACGAAGUCAGAGAAGAGGCGUGAAGAUGUGGCGAAGUGA